RNAcentral lists this transfer RNA (87 nucleotides) under Ophiobolus disseminans. It matches the Rfam family "tRNA". From Rfam's summary of the family: Transfer RNA (tRNA) molecules are approximately 80 nucleotides in length. Lineage: Eukaryota; Fungi; Ascomycota; Dothideomycetes; Pleosporales; Phaeosphaeriaceae. The record is from Rfam by way of RNAcentral.
UCCUCCGUGGCGCAAUUGGCUAGCGCGUCUGACUGUUAUGUUCACGUGGCAAUCAGGAGGUUGAAAGUUCGAGCCUUUCCGGGGGAG